RNAcentral lists this ribosomal RNA (448 nucleotides) under uncultured bacterium. RNAcentral describes it as "bacterial SSU rRNA". It matches the Rfam family "Bacterial small subunit ribosomal RNA", at positions 355 to 796 of the family's 1533-position model. The record is from RNAcentral.
UAGGGAAUCUUCCGCAAUGGACGCAAGUCUGACGGAGCAACGCCGCGUGAGUGAUGAAGGUUUUCGGAUCGUAAAGCUCUGUUGCCCUAGACGAACAGCAAGGCGAGUAACUGCCCUUUGUGUGACGGUAUAGGAGAAGAAAGCCCCGGCUAACUACGUGCCAGCAGCCGCGGUAAUACGUAGGGGGCAAGCGUUGUCCGGAAUUAUUGGGCGUAAAGCGCGCGCAGGCGGUUAAUUAAGUUGGGUGUUUAAGCCCGGGGCUCAACCCCGGUUCGCAUCCAAAACUGGUUGACUUGAGUGUAGGAGAGGAAAGUGGAAUUCCACGUGUAGCGGUGAAAUGCGUAGAGAUGUGGAGGAACACCAGUGGCGAAGGCGACUUUCUGGCCUAUAACUGACGCUGAGGCGCGAAAGCGUGGGGAGCAAACAGGAUUAGAUACCCCCGUAGUCC